This 805-nucleotide ribosomal RNA is filed under the name Cephalotrichum guizhouense. RNAcentral's name for it is "eukaryotic LSU rRNA". It matches the Rfam family "Eukaryotic large subunit ribosomal RNA", at positions 71 to 904 of the family's 3401-position model. The record is from RNAcentral. Lineage: Eukaryota; Fungi; Ascomycota; Sordariomycetes; Microascales; Microascaceae.
GGGAUUGCCUCAGUACGGCGAGUGAAGCGGCAACAGCUCAAAUUUGAAAUCUGGUCCCCUCUGGGGGCCCGAGUUGUAAUUUGAAGAGGAUGCUUUUGGCGAGGCGCCUUCCGAGUGCCCUGGAACGGGACGCCACAGAGGGUGAGAGCCCCGUAUGGUAGGACGCCGAGCCUCUGUAAAGCUCCUUCGACGAGUCGAGUAGUUUGGGAAUGCUGCUCAAAAUGGGAGGUAAACCCCUUCUAAAGCUAAAUAUUGGCCAGAGACCGAUAGCGCACAAGUAGAGUGAUCGAAAGAUGAAAAGCACUUUGAAAAGAGAGUUAAACAGCACGUGAAAUUGUUGAAAGGGAAGCGCUUGCGACCAGACUUGCGCCCGUCGGAUCAACCGUCCCUCGUGGGCGGCGCACUCCGGCGGGCUCAGGCCAGCAUCAGUUUUCCCGGGGGGAGAAAGGCGGUGGGAAUGUGGCUCUUCGGAGUGUUAUAGCCCGCCGCGUAAUGCCCUCGGGGGGACUGAGGACCGCGCGUAUGCAAGGAUGCUGGCGUAAUGGUCGUCAGCGACCCGUCUUGAAACACGGACCAAGGAGUCGUCCUAAUAUGCGAGUGUACGGGUGUAAAACCCCUGCGCGUAAUGAAAGUGAACGGAGGUGAGAGCUUCGGCGCAUCAUCGACCGAUCCUGAUGUUCUCGGAUGGAUUUGAGUAAGAGCAUAUUGGGCCGGACCCGAAAGAAGGUGAACUAUGCCUGUAUAGGGUGAAGCCAGAGGAAACUCUGGUGGAGGCUCGCAGCGGUUCUGACGUGCAAAUCGAUCG